UUUGGUGAUCCGAAGAUAGUU
This 21-nucleotide non-coding RNA is filed under the name Arabidopsis thaliana (thale cress). Lineage: Eukaryota; Viridiplantae; Streptophyta; Magnoliopsida; Brassicales; Brassicaceae. The record is from RNAcentral.